GGCUGGAUAGCUCAUUAGGUUAGAGCGUCGUGCUAAUAACGUGAAUGUCGAGGGUUUGAGCCCCUCUCUGGCCA
Molecule: transfer RNA, 74 nt
Filed under: Schistocephalus solidus
Lineage: Eukaryota; Metazoa; Platyhelminthes; Cestoda; Diphyllobothriidea; Diphyllobothriidae
Rfam family: tRNA
About the family: Transfer RNA (tRNA) molecules are approximately 80 nucleotides in length. Their secondary structure includes four short double-helical elements and three loops (D, anti-codon, and T loops). Further hydrogen bonds mediate the characteristic L-shaped molecular structure. tRNAs have two regions of fundamental functional importance: the anti-codon, which is responsible for specific mRNA codon recognition, and the 3' end, to which the tRNAs corresponding amino acid is attached (by aminoacyl-tRNA synthetases). tRNAs cope with the degeneracy of the genetic code in two manners: having more than one tRNA (with a specific anti-codon) for a particular amino acid; and 'wobble' base-pairing, i.e. permitting non-standard base-pairing at the 3rd anti-codon position.
Source: Rfam by way of RNAcentral